AAGGCAUGAGGAGGUCCUGGAAGACUUGAAGCGGAGGCCCCCAGCCCCACCGUCAGUGUGACACAGCAGACAUGGAACGGGCCUACAGGAACCCUGGCGGCAGUCCCCAACCCAGCUCUGUGGCUAUUAAACCUGAAGAUCAGAACCUCCAAGGGGAGACUACAGAGAAGUGAAGAACAGUGAGCCUCCAAGACAGGGGUCCCUGGAGUCAGAGGCCAGAGUGAGUCCCCAGGUGAGGCGUCUGUUCACUUCCUGCUGGUUAGCUGUUAUCAGCUUGCAGAAGGCCCUUACAGAGAUAUCACCUUGGCAGAUGUCCAGACACCAACGACAUCCUGAGGACUUCAUCUCUUCUGACACCCCCGUGCUGGGAUAAAUAUUUCAUGGAGCCUGGUGCAGAGCUGCGAACCAUUUCCCCACAAUCUGACCUACACAGAAUGUUCAUACUUCAUGCGGUCCUUUCAAGGUUUUGCGCUGAUGCAGGGUGACACCAACCACCUGAUGUCUUUGGCUGAGGGUCCCUCCCAGGAUGGCUACAUGGGCUGACAUUCAGUGGGACUCUUGUGCUGUCCCCUGAAGAACAAGACUCCCUGUGGUGACAUGGUGCCUGGACCACUGAGUCAGGAGCUAUGAAGAAUAAGAUACAAAUGCCCAUUUCCACCUCGGCUUCUGGGCUGAGGACUGCCUACAGAGAACAGCAUCUCCUCACACUGUCCUAGGGAAGAUGGUCCAGCUUUAAGCAACAUUGCCACAGUGGCUGGUAGCUGGGCCUCCUCUGCACAGCUGUCUGUCCCUCGCAAAGCAUGAAGCUGCCAGGCAUGCAUGUGACAUACCCACUAACAGAGUCUUUGUUAUGGGUUAUUUUUCUUUUUCUAGUUCAUUACAGUGAGUCGUUAGGUGAUGGGUAUGUUCUAUGUGUCUGGUAUGCGCGCACAUGCGUGUGCAGGUGCAUGUGCCCACGCACACAUGUGCAGAGGUGAACAUAAGCCAUCCUGCUGUAUCACUGUCCGCCUUAUGCCCUUGACACAGGGUCUCUCGCUGAACCUGGAGCCAGGCUGAGUGGCCAGCAAGUCCCAGAGAUCCUCCUGUCUCCACCCCAACUCCACAGCACUGUACCACCACUGCUGGCUUUGACCUGAGUGCCGGAGAUUUAAAUUGAGGUCCCCGUGGUUGUACAGCUGGCCUUUCCACCAGGAGCCAGCAUCCAGGCUCCAUCCUCCCUUCUCAAGGCAGACCGUGCAGCAGAGCACUGCCUUUUCUGCAUCCUCGAAGGUUUGGGUUGUCGCAUCUUUGUCUCCAUUCUCCUCAAAUCAUUUUCUUAUUGCCUGCUGGUUGCUUAAGGGGGCAUUUCAUUUCUGCAGAUCUACUGCAGAUCUACGAAUUUUCCAAAUUAACCUGGGGCUAUUAGAUCCUGACACAGCCAUACAUAUAUCUCACUAUGAUCAGAGAACAGACCUUUACAAUUCCAGUCUUUUUGGAGGUACUGAGACUUGGUCUAUGUAGUAGGAGCUGCAGGCAGGCCUGCUUUUUGUCCCGCCCGGCUCCCGGCUGCCUGGCUAGCUUAUGCCCCGAAAU
Molecule: long non-coding RNA, 1572 nt
Organism: Arvicola amphibius (Eurasian water vole)
Lineage: Eukaryota; Metazoa; Chordata; Mammalia; Rodentia; Cricetidae
Exons: 4
Source: RefSeq, a predicted model, not a curated record